GAUGAACGCUAGCUACAGGCUUAACACAUGCAAGUCGAGGGGAAACGAUGAGAGAGCUUGCUCUCUUAGUCGUCGACCGGCGCACGGGUGAGUAACGCGUAUCCAACCUGCCUCUGACCAAGGGAUAACCCGUCGAAAGUCGGACUAAUACCUUAUGCAGUCGUCGGAAGUCAUCUGAUGACGACGAAAGAUUUCAUCGGUGAGAGAUGGGGAUGCGUCUGAUUAGCUUGUUGGCGGGGUAACGGCCCACCAAGGCGACGAUCAGUAGGGGUUCUGAGAGGAAGGUCCCCCACAUUGGAACUGAGACACGGUCCAAACUCCUACGGGAGGCAGCAGUGAGGAAUAUUGAUCAAUGGGCGUAAGCCUGAACCAGCCAAGUAGCGUGCAGGAUGACGGCCCUAUGGGUUGUAAACUGCUUUUAUGCGGGGAUAAAGUGAGGGACGUGUCCUUCAUUGCAGGUAUCGCAUGAAUAAGGACCGGCUAAUUCCGUG
Molecule: ribosomal RNA, 491 nt
Filed under: uncultured bacterium
Lineage: Bacteria
Description: partial 16S ribosomal RNA
Rfam family: Bacterial small subunit ribosomal RNA
Source: RNAcentral